CCAUAGCCCCGAUUGCAAUGGAAAUCCUUUUUUGCGAGAGGCUAUGCCGAGCAAAAAAGAUUGGAAUGGAAAGCGGGAAAUAGC
This 84-nucleotide small RNA is filed under the name Epilithonimonas hominis. RNAcentral describes it as "Chryseobacterium hominis Flavo-1 RNA". It matches the Rfam family "Flavo-1 RNA". The record is from RNAcentral. Lineage: Bacteria; Pseudomonadati; Bacteroidota; Flavobacteriia; Flavobacteriales; Weeksellaceae.